RNAcentral lists this ribosomal RNA (414 nucleotides) under uncultured microorganism. RNAcentral's name for it is "bacterial SSU rRNA". It matches the Rfam family "Archaeal small subunit ribosomal RNA", at positions 459 to 872 of the family's 1478-position model. The record is from RNAcentral.
CAGCCGCCGCGGUAAUACCGGCGGCCCGAGUGGCGGUCACUAUUAUUGGGCUUAAAGCGUCCGUAGCCGGGUUGGGAAGUCCUCCGGGGAAUCUGGCCGCUUAACGGUCAGAAUGCCGGAGGAUACUCCCAGCCUAGGGAGCGGGAGAGGCCGAGGGGAUUCCCGGGGUAGGGGGGAAAUCCUAUAAUCCCGGGAGGACCACCUGUGGCGAAGGCGCUCGGCUGGAACGCGUCCGACGGUGAGGGACGAAGGCCAGGGGAGCAAACCGGAUUAGAUACCCGGGUAGUCCUGGCUGUAAACGAUGCGGACUUUGUGUCGGACAAGCUAUGAGCUUGUCCGGUGCCGGAGGGAAACCGUUAAGUCCGCCGCCUGGGGAGUACGGCCGCAAGGCUGAAACUUAAAGGAAUUGGCGGG